Humulus lupulus (European hop) is the source of this 107-nucleotide small nucleolar RNA. The record is from RefSeq and is a predicted model, not a curated record. NCBI's taxonomy places the organism in Eukaryota, Viridiplantae, Streptophyta, Magnoliopsida, Rosales, Cannabaceae.
AUCCCAUGAUGAGGACAUUUCCUCAAAAACUCCUUAAACCUCUCCCAUGCAUCGUAAAGAGACUCUCCUACAAAUUGAGCGAAGUUAUUAAUUUCCCCUCUUAACUU